This 68-nucleotide transfer RNA is filed under the name Laimosemion agilae. Its description in RNAcentral is "tRNA-Ile". It matches the Rfam family "tRNA". Rfam says of the family: Transfer RNA (tRNA) molecules are approximately 80 nucleotides in length. Their secondary structure includes four short double-helical elements and three loops (D, anti-codon, and T loops). Lineage: Eukaryota; Metazoa; Chordata; Actinopteri; Cyprinodontiformes; Rivulidae. The record is from RNAcentral.
GGACUUGUGCCUGAAAAAGGGCUACUUUGAUAGAGUACUAUAUAAGGGUUAAAGCCCCUUCAAUUCCU